This 486-nucleotide ribosomal RNA is filed under the name uncultured bacterium. RNAcentral's name for it is "partial 16S ribosomal RNA". It matches the Rfam family "Bacterial small subunit ribosomal RNA", at positions 30 to 507 of the family's 1533-position model. The record is from RNAcentral.
AUUGAACGCUGGCGGCAUGCCUUACACAUGCAAGUCGAACGGCAGCACGGGUGCUUGCACCUGGUGGCGAGUGGCGAACGGGUGAGUAAUACAUCGGAACAUGUCCUGUAGUGGGGGAUAGCCCGGCGAAAGCCGGAUUAAUACCGCAUACGAUCUACGGAUGAAAGCGGGGGACCUUCGGGCCUCGCGCUAUAGGGUUGGCCGAUGGCUGAUUAGCUAGUUGGUGGGGUAAAGGCCUACCAAGGCGACGAUCAGUAGCUGGUCUGAGAGGACGACCAGCCACACUGGGACUAAGACACGGCCCAGACUCCUACGGGAGGCAGCAGUGGGGAAUUUUGGACAAUGGGCGAAAGCCUGAUCCAGCAAUGCCGCGUGUGUGAAGAAGGCCUUCGGGUUGUAAAGCACUUUUGUCCGGAAAGAAAUACUUGGCCCUAAUACGGUCGGGGGAUGACGGUACCGGAAGAAUAAGCACCGGCUAACUACGUG